Molecule: transfer RNA, 62 nt
Filed under: uncultured Halobacteriovorax sp.
Lineage: Bacteria; Pseudomonadati; Bdellovibrionota; Bacteriovoracia; Bacteriovoracales; Halobacteriovoraceae
Rfam family: tRNA
About the family: Transfer RNA (tRNA) molecules are approximately 80 nucleotides in length. Their secondary structure includes four short double-helical elements and three loops (D, anti-codon, and T loops).
Source: RNAcentral
CGUAGUUCAGUUGGUAGAGCGCCAGAUUGUGAUUCUGGUUGUCGUGGGUUCGAGCCCCAUCG